UUAAAAUAUUAUGCCGAAGACAGUAGGUGGUUCUAGAACCUUAAUUUCCUACCGAGGACAAUGAUUAAUACAAUCAAUAGUCCCUCUAUGUCAACGGUGGCAUGGAGUUUUUUUGUA
Molecule: small RNA, 117 nt
Filed under: uncultured Vagococcus sp.
Lineage: Bacteria; Bacillati; Bacillota; Bacilli; Lactobacillales; Enterococcaceae
Description: Ribosomal protein L10 leader
Rfam family: Ribosomal protein L10 leader
About the family: This family is a putative r-protein leader autoregulatory structure found in B. subtilis and other low-GC Gram-positive bacteria. It is located in the 5' untranslated regions of mRNAs encoding ribosomal proteins L10 and L12 (rplJ-rplL). A Rho-independent transcription terminator structure that is probably involved in regulation is included at the 3' end.
Source: RNAcentral